Molecule: long non-coding RNA, 1068 nt
Filed under: Strigops habroptila (Kakapo)
Lineage: Eukaryota; Metazoa; Chordata; Aves; Psittaciformes; Psittacidae
Description: lncRNA (ENSSHBG00005000337.1)
Source: RNAcentral
UCUUCUUUUUUUUUUCACAUUGAAGUGUUUGUGGAGGGUUUCAUGGUUUUAAUAGCUAUAUAUUCUUUAUUGCUGCUUUAAAAUACUAAUAAAAGUGAUGAAAAGGCAUGAAAAAUCAUCACUGAUUGCAUAGGAAUUCACUUAAAAUAUGAUCUUUCCUUUGCUCAGUUAUCAUCUGUAGUGGUGUUUCCUUACAGAAAUGGUAAAGGGCUAAAAGUUCUUAAUAAAAAACACAUGCUUUUCUUUACUGCACCACCACACUUGGAUGUAUUCCCCUGUGGAAAACGACACCAGGUUAACCACUGCAAGGCAGCCUUACGGUAAAUCGGAUCCGUUUUUAAAAAUGCAUUCCCAGAAGAUUCAGUUUAAUACACUGUUUCUGAGAAUACCUCUGUGAGAGUGUUUUUUCUCUCUGAUAUUCUUGCUCUUUAUGUUUGGAAGCAACCUUGGCUGGUGAAAGGCAGGAAUAGAAAACACCAUUUUGAGACAAUGAAGAACCAAAGACCUGAAUUACUUAGAAAUUUAAGACAAGAAGCAUGUAUAUGGUGCAUUCAGUAUCUUUCUUUUUAUUAUUAUUUCUGUACAUGUAAAAUUAUUCUUCUUAAUUAACAAAAAGGAAAAUGGAUGAUUUUCCUUGAAGUAUGUAAGAGGCAGUGUUUCACUGAUCCAAACCUUGAACUACAACAACACCAAGAAGCAAUUACCCGCACUUACGGCCAGGUCUGGAAUAUAAUGUACCUUCUAGUUAAAAAUGCAAAAUGUGUUUUUAAGGUUUUUUUUAUUUAUGUUUUGAAAGUUUAUUCUAAUUAGAGAAAAUAUCCCCACACUUAAAAUGGAAAUUGCUGUGGACUCAGACAGCAGGACUUCUCUUAAAAGAAAAAAAUAUUGAGCCAGAUCUUCCCAUUUGCAAAUUGCAUGUUGGGGUCUGCCAGUAGUAAUCGAUGCCACAUAAAACUACUUCCCUUCCUUGUUCAGGAGUGGUGACAUAGCCUUGCACAUUAGGGGGGCUGGAAUGGGAGAAAAGGAUCUUAAUUCAAAGACAGAAAGAGAGGCCUAGAACAAGCAUUU